Molecule: ribosomal RNA, 254 nt
Filed under: uncultured bacterium
Lineage: Bacteria
Description: partial 16S ribosomal RNA
Rfam family: Bacterial small subunit ribosomal RNA
Source: RNAcentral
UACGGGGGGAGCAAGCGUUGUUCGGAUUUACUGGGCGUAAAGGGCGCGUAGGCGGUCACCGCAAGUCGACUGUGAAAUCUCCGGGCUUAACCCGGAAAGGUCAGCCGAUACUGCGGGGCUAGAGUGCAGAAGGGGCAACUGGAAUUCUCGGUGUAGCGGUGAAAUGCGUAGAUAUCUGGAGGAACACCGGUGGCGAAGGCGGCAUCCUGGACCAUUACUGACACUGAAAAGCGAAAGCCAGGGGAGCAAACGGG